This 76-nucleotide transfer RNA is filed under the name Gammaproteobacteria bacterium. Its description in RNAcentral is "tRNA-Lys". It matches the Rfam family "tRNA". Rfam says of the family: Transfer RNA (tRNA) molecules are approximately 80 nucleotides in length. The record is from RNAcentral. RNAcentral also lists the same sequence under 6 other names. Lineage: Bacteria; Pseudomonadati; Pseudomonadota; Gammaproteobacteria.
GGGCCGUUAGCUCAGUUGGUAGAGCAGCUGACUCUUAAUCAGCGGGUCGUAGGUUCGAAUCCUACACGGCCCACCA